UACGGAGGGGGCUAGCGUUGUUCGGAGUUACUGGGCGUAAAGCGCACGCAGGCGGCUUUGCAAGUUAGAGGUGAAAGCCCGGGGCUCAACUCCGGAAUUGCCUUUAAAACUGCAUCGCUAGAAUUGUGGAGAGGUAAGUGGAAUUCCGAGUGUAGAGGUGAAAUUCGUAGAUAUUCGGAAGAACACCAGUGGCGAAGGCGACUUACUGGACACAUAUUGACGCUGAGGUGCGAAAGCGUGGGGAGCAAACAGG
Molecule: ribosomal RNA, 253 nt
Filed under: uncultured bacterium
Lineage: Bacteria
Description: partial 16S ribosomal RNA
Rfam family: Bacterial small subunit ribosomal RNA
Source: RNAcentral